CCUACGGGAGGCUGCAGUGGGGAAUAUUGGACAAUGGGCGAAAGCCUGAUCCAGCCAUGCCGCGUGUGUGAAGAAGGCCUUCGGGUUGUAAAGCACUUUCAGUGGGGAAGAAAGCCUUGGGGCUAAUACCCUCGAGGAAGGACAUCACCCACAGAAGAAGCACCGGCUAACUCCGUGCCAGCAGCCGCGGUAAUACGGAGGGUGCGAGCGUUAAUCGGAAUUACUGGGCGUAAAGCGCGCGUAGGCGGUCUGAUAAGCCGGUUGUGAAAGCCCCGGGCUCAACCUGGGAACGGCAUCCGGAACUGUCAGGCUAGAGUGCAGGAGAGGAAGGUAGAAUUCCCGGUGUAGCGGUGAAAUGCGUAGAGAUCGGGAGGAAUUCCAGUGGCGAAGGCGGCCUUCUGGACUGACACUGACGCUGAGGUGCGAAAGCGUGGGUAGCAAACAGGAUUAGAUACCCCAGUAGUC
This 465-nucleotide ribosomal RNA is filed under the name Vreelandella stevensii. RNAcentral's name for it is "partial 16S ribosomal RNA". It matches the Rfam family "Bacterial small subunit ribosomal RNA", at positions 338 to 795 of the family's 1533-position model. The record is from RNAcentral. Lineage: Bacteria; Pseudomonadati; Pseudomonadota; Gammaproteobacteria; Oceanospirillales; Halomonadaceae.